RNAcentral lists this long non-coding RNA (875 nucleotides) under Marmota monax (woodchuck). The record is from RNAcentral. Lineage: Eukaryota; Metazoa; Chordata; Mammalia; Rodentia; Sciuridae.
CUGUUUAAAGCUCCACCCACUGAAAGGUUAUCCUUCACUACUGUCUUACAGAGAUGUCUCAGAAAGGGACUGUAGUGUGGCAGCUAUCCACUCCUGAGUGCAGCUUGCAUAACACACAGAACAAACUACAAACCAGGACUGAGUUUUCCUUUCCCCAGUCAGCUGUUCAUAAGGAACUCCCCAUAAGGCUACAGGUGCAGACUAAGGGAAGGAGGAGUAAGGACUGUGGUCAUUUUGGCCAUUCUGCACGCACUUUUUGCCUUCAGGGUCUGUCCAAGCACAGUCUCCUGUGUACCAUUUUCAUUAGAUAAUGGAGCACUACCUUCACUCCCAGAUUUUUUUGGCUUAGUGGGUCAGACAACAUCCAUUUCAUGAUAGGCAGCUCAGGUUACCUGGUAACUUGAUGGCCCUUAGUUAAGCCUUAAGCUCUACUAAGGCUUACUAGCAAACCAAAACUGUUUCCCAAGACUAGAGUAAUUAUUCCCAGAGGAUGGUGGGGCUUUUUCCAAAAUCCUAAGGACUCACACUGUGAUCAUUUACAGGAGCCUACUAAAGAUUCCAAAUAGCAUCGCUUCUGCCACUGUCACUUCUCACACCAUCGGGUUUGAGUCAGAUGGCCCAAAUGGCCGAAGAGCUUCUCUUGUCUUGAGCCGCACUCAAACUAGCUGCUUUUUUAGUUACUAAGUAAAUGGACUGGAGUAGCAUACCCAAAUUAGUAAUAUAUUGUCUCAGAAAUCCAUAAAAGCCCACCAAAUGUAGUACCUAUUUUUGUAGGAGGGGCCAGAUGCAGCAACUUAUCCUUCACCUUAAAAGGAAUGUCUUAACAUACCCCAAAGGCCCCAAAUAUUUGUGGGAUUUCUCCCCGCUUCUUUUUU